GUUUGAUCAUGGCUCAGAUUGAACGCUGGCGGGAUGUCUGCUUUACACAUGCAAGUCGAACGGCAGCACGGACUUCGGUCUGGUGGCGAGUGGCGAACGGGUGAGUAAUGUAUCGGAACGUGCCUAGUAGCGGGGGAUAACGCGAAAGCGUAGCUAAUACCGCAUACGCCCUUCGGGGAAAGCGGGGACCCUUCGGGCCUCGCACUAUUAGAGCGGCCGAUAUCGGAUUAGCUAGUUGGUGGGGUAACGGCUCACCAAGGCGACGAUCCGUAGCUGGUUUGAGGACGACCAGCCACACUGGGACUGAGACACGGCCCAGACUCCUACAGGGAGGCAGCAGUAGAAUUUUGGACAAUGGGGAAACCCUGAUCCAGCCAUCCCGCGUGUGCGAUGAAGGCCUUCGGGUUGUAAAGCACUUUUGGCAGGAAAGAAACGGCACGGGAUAAUACCCCGUGCAACUGACGUACCUGCAGAAUAAGCACCGGCUGACUACGUGCCAGCAGCCGCGGUAAUACGUAAGGGUGCAAGCGUUAAUCGGAAUUACUGGGCGUAAAGCGUGCGCGAGCGGUUCGGAAAGAAAGAUGUGAAAUCCCAGAGCUUAACUUUGGAACUGCAUUUUUAACUACCAAACUAGGUGUGUCAGAGGAGGUGGAAUUCCGCGUGUAGCAGUUGAAAUGCGUAGAUAUGCGGAGGAACACCGAUGGCGAAGCGGCCUCGCAGGAUAACGACGCUCAUGCACGAAAGCGUGGGAGCAAGCAGGAUUAGAUACCCUGGUAGUCCACGCCCUAAACGAUGUCAACUAACUGUUGGGGCCUUCGGGCAGCGGUGACGCUACCCCAGCUGCGCGUGAAGUUGACCGCCUGGGGAAUGCGGUCGCAAGAUUAAAACUCAAGGAAUUGACGGGGACCCGCACAAGCGGUGGAUGAUGUGGAUUAAUUCGAUGCAUCGCGAAAAACCUUGCCUACCCUUGACAUGUCUGGAAUCCCGAAGAGAUUUGGGAGUGCUCGCAAGAGAACCGGAACACAGGUGCUGCAUGGCUGUCGUCAGCUCGUGUCGUGAGAUGUUGGGUUAAGUCCCGCAACAGGCGCAACCCUUGUCAUUAGUUGCUACGAAAGGCACUCUAAUGAGACUGCCGGUGACAAACCGGAGGAAGGUGGGGAUGACGUCAAGUCCUCAUGGCCCAUAUGGGUAGGGCUUCACACGUCAUACAAUGGUCGGGACAGAGGGUCGCCAACCCGCGAGGGGAGCCAAUCCCAGAAAUUGAUCGUAGUCCGGAUCGCAGUCUGCAACUCGACUGCGUGAAGUCAGAAUCGCUAGUAAUCGCGGAUCAGCAUGUCGCGAGGUGAAUACGUUCCCGGGUCUUAACACCGCCCGUCACACCAUGGGAGUGGGUUUUACCAAGAAGUAGUUAGCCUAACCGUAAGGAGGGCGAUUACCACGGUAGGAUUCAUGACUGGGGUGUGAAGUCGUAACAAAAGGUAA
RNAcentral lists this ribosomal RNA (1482 nucleotides) under uncultured Bordetella sp. Its description in RNAcentral is "partial 16S-23S ribosomal RNA intergenic spacer". It matches the Rfam family "Bacterial small subunit ribosomal RNA". The record is from RNAcentral. Lineage: Bacteria; Pseudomonadati; Pseudomonadota; Betaproteobacteria; Burkholderiales; Alcaligenaceae.